UUUUCUUUUUUUUCCCCUUUUUUUGUUACCAUUUGUAACAAUUAAAUUAUAAAACCAUUUUUAAAAAAUGAGAUUUUUCAUUUUACAUUGACUAAUCUAAUUUUACAAUUUUCCACACUGCUUCUUUAACAUAUUAAAUUGAGGAGUGUCAAGCUGUAUCGUGGGAGGAUUCACUCACCACACAAAGAGACUGAGAGUCUCUAGAUUUCACUGAACAACCGAAGAAAAUGGUUUGCAUGUUUGUUUUGUUCUCUUUGUACUGGUGGCGUUUGACUGGUGUGUUUGGUGAGUCAGUGUCAGUGAUGGAAGGAGAUUCUGUCACUCUACACACUGUUACUGCAAUACAUGAAGAUGAAGACAUACUGUGGAAAUUUGGAAAUGAAAAGUCUCUGAUAGCUAAACUCAAGAGACAGAACCAAAUCUUCCCUGAUGAGAGAUUCAGAGACAGACUGAAGCUGGACAGACAGACUGGAUCUCUGAUCAUCACAAACAUCACAACUCAACAAGCUGGAAUCUAUGAAGUAAAGAUCAGUGGACUGAAAUGAACAACAAAAUCAUUUAGUGUUUCUGUCUAUGCUCGUCUGCCCACACCAAAAAUUACCAGCUAUCCUUUAUCACCACAGCAGAAUUGUUCAUUGUUGUGUUCAGUGGUGAAUGUGAGUCAUGUGACUCUCUCCUGGUACAAAGGAAACAGUUUAUUGUCUAGCAUCAGUGUGUCUGAUCUCAGCAUCAGUCUCUCUCUACCUCUGGAGGUGGAAUAUCAGGAUAAAAACAGCUACAGCUGUGUGAUCAACAAUCCCAUCAGAAACCAGACCACACAUCUGGACAUCAGUCAACUCUGUCAUAUUCUUUCAGAUCAGAGCCUACCCUUGUUUUACAUUUUGCUGAUUUCUGCUGCUGGAUCUCUGUUGAUUGUAACUGCAGUUGUGAUGUGCUGCAGGAAAUGUAGAAAAACAGCUCAGGGAUUCAAUUAUUACAAUUAUUAACUACGAACAUUACAAUUAAUGCAUUUGUAACAUGUACACACACACACACACACACACACACAUAUAUAUAUAUAGACAAGCUGCAACAAUCUUUGCUGUUGCUUUUGUGUGAAAG
Molecule: long non-coding RNA, 1101 nt
Organism: Cyprinus carpio carpio
Lineage: Eukaryota; Metazoa; Chordata; Actinopteri; Cypriniformes; Cyprinidae
Source: Ensembl